AUGAGAGAAAAUGCUCUUUCGUCGAGAAUUUGGGUACCGUCGGCCGUGAGGCCAACGGCGGGAAAAAAUGAAACAAAAGAUUCUCCACCCGGCCCUCCUCCGGGGGAGGGAGUGGUGCGUUCACCAUCUCCCGAAGAGCAGAUCCCUCCAUCUCUGGGUCGCCUGUCUCAGGGCCGCUUGCUCUUGCGUUUACCACCAGGUUUGGCGGGGGCCUGGACAGGCGGGGCGGCUCUCCCACGCCCGGCUCCACGACGCUGCUUUGCUGGAGGCUGCUGCGGCUGCGGCGCGGGAGCGGGGCGGACGCGGGGGCCCGCCCUCGGCGACGAGCAGGCUGGGGUGCUGCGGCCGGCGGACGGGUGGAGGCAGCAGCUGCCCGGGCUAUGCGAUUCAGUUCGCCCGGCGUCCCCCCAAGUUCAGCGGUAUCCGCUUCACUACAGUGAAAGCGUCCGAUGCCCCUGUUCUGCGGGAAGAGAUCGCAGUCUUACUGGCGAAAGACGCGAUAGAGCCGGUCCCUCCAGCCGAUAUGAGGACGGGGUUUUACAGCCCCUACUUCAUUGUACCCAAGAAAGGCGGUGGGUUACGACCGAUCUUGGAUCUGCGAGUUUUGAACCGGGCCCUUCAUCGGCUACCGUUCAAGAUGUUGACGCAGAAACGCAUCUUCGGGUGCGUCCGUCCCGAGAUUGGUUUGCAGCGAUCGACCUGAAGGAUGCGUACUUUCAUGUGUCGAUCCUUCCGCGCCACAGACCUUUUUCUGCGGUUUGCGUUCGAAGGACGGGCAUAUCAGUACAAGGUCCUGCCCUUCGGGCUGUCCCUGUCUCCCCGUGUCUUCACGAAAGUCACGGAGGCGGCUCUUGUUCCACUCAGAGAACAGGGUGUUCGUAUUCUCAACUAUCUAGACGAUUGGCUGAUACUAGCACAAUCUCGGGAUCAGUUGUGCGAACACAGGGACCUGGUGCUCCGGCACCUCAGCCUGUUGGGCCUUCGGGUCAACUGGGAAAAGAGCAAACUCUUGCCAACGCAGAGGAUCUCUUUUCUUGGUAUGGAGUUGGAUUCGGUCGAACAGACAGCACGCCUCACAGAGCAACGUGCGCGGUCAGUGCUAGCCUGCUUGAAUACAUUCAAGAGCAGGACAGCGGUCCCACUGAAACUCUUUCAGAGGCUCCUGGGGCAUAUGGCGGCCGCAGCGGCACUUACACCGCUCGGCCUGCUACAUAUGAGACCGCUCCAGCACUGGCUUUAUGGCCGAGUCCCGAGGUGGGCGUGGAAGCGCGGCACUCACCGGGUCCAAGUUACACCGGCCUGUCGCCAAACCCUCACCCCGUGGUCAGAUCUUGCGUUUCUCAGGGCAGGGGUGCCCCUAGAGCAGAUCUCCAGGCAUGCUGUGGUUUACACGGAUGCCUCCACCACCCGGCUGGGGGGCCACGUACAACGGGCAUGCAGUCUCAGGGGUUUGGACGGGCCCGCAGCUGCAGUGGCACAUCAAUUGCCUAGAGUUGUUAGCAGUGCACCUUGCCUUGAACCGUCUCAAAGGUCACUUACGAGGCAAGCAUGUGCUGGUCCGAACGGACAACACAGCGACCGUUGCGUACAUCAACCGACAAGGUGGUCUGCGCUCCCGUCGCAUGUCACAACUCGCCCGCCACCUCCUCCUUUGGAGUCAGAAGGUUCUGAGGUCUCUUCGUGCCGUUCACAUUCCAGGCCUGCUCAACCGUACAGCCGACGAGCUGUCUCGAGCAAUGCUCCCAGGAGAAUGGCGACUCCAUCCCCUGACGGUCCAGCUGAUUUGGAGACGGUUCGGAGCCGCUCAGGUAGACCUGUUUGCUUCUCCAGAGACCGCUCACUGCCAGUUGUUCUACUCCCUGACCGAGGGAACUCUCGGCAGGGAUGCACUGGCACACAGCUGGCCGCGGGGCCUACGCAAGUAUGCGUUUCCCCCAGUGAGCCUUCUUGCACAGACACUGUGCAAAGUCCGGGAGGACGAGGAGCAAGUCUUGCUAGUGGCGCCGUAUUGGCCCACGCGGACCUGGUUCCCCGAACUGGUGCUCCUCGCGACAGCCCCUCCUUGGCCGAUUCCUCUGAGGAAGGAUCUACUGACUCAGAGACGGGGCACUCAUUUGGCACCCGCGUCCAGACCUUUGGAAACUCCAUGUCUGGUCCCUGGACGGGACGCGGAGGUUCUAGGUGACCUGCCCCAGGAGGUAGCGAACACCAUCACUUCGGCAAGAGCACCGUCUACGAGACACGCUUACGCCUUGAAGUGGAACCUGUUCGUCGAGUGGUGUUCUUCUCGCCGAGAAGACCCCCGAAGAUGCCCGAUUGCGGUUGUGCUUUCCUUUCUGCAGCAAGGGCUGGAGCGAAGGCUGUCUCCCUCCACCCUCAAAGUCCAGGUUGCCGCUAUUGCUGCGUACCAUGACCCCGUGAAUGGGAAGUCUUUAGGUAAGCAUGACCUCGUCAUCAGGUUCCUUAGAGGGGCCAGGAGGUUAAAUCCUUCCCGGCCCCCCUCCAUACCCUCUUGGGACCUGACUCUGGUGCUAAAAUCACUACAGCAGGGCCCAUUCGAGCCUUUGCAUUCAGUCGAGCCAAAGUUUCUUUCAUUGAAAACUCUGCUCCUGCUUGCACUGGCCUCCAUCAAGAGGGUAGGGGACCUGCACGCAUUUUUCGGUCGACGAUUCGUGCCUAGAGUUUGGGCCGGCUGACUCCCAGGUAAUCCUGAGGCCCCGGCCCGGCUACGUGCCCAAGGUUCCCACUACACCCUUCAAAGACCAAGUGGUGAACCUGCAAGCGCUGCCCCUGGAGGAGGCAGACCCAGCCCUAGCUUUGCUCUGUCCCGUCCGAGCAUUGAGAUGCUACGUAGACCGGACACAAAGCUUCAGGACCUCAGACCAGCUCUUUGUCUGUUACGGAGGCCGGCAGAAGGGGAAUGCCGUCUCUAAGCAGAGGAUGGCCCACUGGAUUGUGGAUGCCAUAGCCCUGGCUUAUCAGGCACAGGGUGUGCCCUGCCCGUUCAGGUUGCGAGCUCACUCGACAAGAAGUGUUGCAUCCUCCUGGGCGCUGGCUCGUGGCGCCUCGCUGACAGAUAUUUGUAGAGCUGCGGGCUGGGCGACCCCUAACACGUUCGCUAGGUUCUAUAGCCUUCGUGUAGAGCCGGUAUCCUCCUGUGUUCUCACCUCAAACGGGUAGUGGCACCGAGAGGCCCCGGGUAGUGUCGGCUUGCUAAAACCGCUCCAGAGUGUCCGUACUGCAGACCCUGUUGAGAUCCUCCAUCACCCUAGGCAGCUGGACGCGGCGGAACGUCCGGCGCCAGGCCUUCAUGAUGAAUCCGUGAGAACCAUGGAAGGCUGGGUUCCAUAUUGAGACUUAAACGGUACUCAUAUGCGUAUAGUCCACGGUAUAGCCUUAGAGCCCGUGUUUCCCCGGCAGACUUCUGCCUUCCAAGAGGGUUUUAAUCACCUCAAAUUUCUCCAUAUACACCUAAACGGAUGCUAUGUGUGUAUUUGCUCCCGAGACCUCCUUCGGGAAGGAUGGGGCUUCCGCAGCGUCCCUGUUCCAAGCGAACGGGUACGUUUUCCCAGUGUUAUCCAAUCUCACCCAGUGAGGUAGUGCUUUGACAAUGGUGAGUGGAACUACUUGUUCCGAGCCCCGGCCUACACCUAAUAGGGGCGCAGGCGGCUCGCACAGGGCACUGGAAGGGGCAGCACCCAUGGCGCUUUGGUAGGGAUCCCAUUUUCGUCGGUCACCGACGUGGCGUCGAGAGUGACCGACUGAAAGGGAACGUCUCGGUUACGUAUGGUAACCCUCGUUCCCUGAAGGAGGGAACGGAGACGCCACGUCCCCGUCGCCAUGGUUACUGUACCGCCGCUGAGCUGCCGGGUCUCCGGCUCGGCUCCUCAGCGAAAAGCUGGUAUGCAUUGCACCUGCUGCCUUCUUAUACUCACGCUGUGAUCAGCGGCAGCUGGAUGCAAUAAUUGCAUGCCAAUGUGCAUUGGCUCGUUUAGUUUACACUCGAAGUAGAUUGGUCUAUCGAAGUGAUAUCCCAUUUUCGUCGGUCACCGACGUGGCGUCUCCGUUCCCUCCUUCAGGGAACGAGGGUUACCAUACGUAACCGAGACGUUUUUCUGCAUGAAGAGGUGAAAAAAAAUAACUAAUCCAUUACCAGCCACACCAAACGACCUCAAACACCACAAACCAGAAGAACUUCAUUGUGCAUUGAUC
Molecule: long non-coding RNA, 4212 nt
Organism: Cyprinus carpio carpio
Lineage: Eukaryota; Metazoa; Chordata; Actinopteri; Cypriniformes; Cyprinidae
Source: Ensembl